AUCUAACUGAAGAGUUCCAAAUAGGAUGAAAAGUGGGUCCUUGAU
Non-coding RNA from Schistosoma mansoni, 45 nucleotides. NCBI's taxonomy places the organism in Eukaryota, Metazoa, Platyhelminthes, Trematoda, Strigeidida, Schistosomatidae. The record is from Rfam.